GUGCAAGAGGGUAGUUAACAGCUGUUAUGAAUAAAGGGUAGCAUAUUAUUAUUCAAGAAAGAGCCUUGACUAGGUUUAGCACGUUGGGAUGUGUGAAGCUUACUGCAUAACCUGAAUUGUCCCCACUCCACUAGUGAGUAGAUAGCAUUUUGCAUAGCGCCGGCUGGUAAGAUGUUUCAGGAGGGUGGUGAUGUGUACUAGCAAGGCAGAGAUCCCGAGUUCACGCCAGGCAUGUCAAAGCUCCAGGGACGCAGCAGAGAGCAGAAGGGUAGGGUGGAGAACACUGCCUUUUUGCAGUGGUAUUGGCCUCGGUUUGUGUCCAUCUCUCCCCUUCCUCAGGCCUCCAUUACUUUCCACUGAGAAUCUUCAUUCACAGACGACCGAGUUUUGAAAUCAGUGGAAUUCGAGUACGAUAGCUAAGGAGAUGGAGAAAACACCGGUCUGGAUUACAUUGUCAAACUAAGGCAACCAUGCAUGGCAUCAGACAGGAGACGCAUCUAACCACGAUGUAUACUGGACGUUUCAAGUCGCACGUCUAUCUUGGAACAUGACGUGGAUGUGGGGCACGCUGCUCCUAUUCAUCAGCAUCCGUACCGGGUUAACGCUAUGAGAGGAAAUGGCUUCCUGGAUUCCUGAAGCAGCUGAUUGGAUGGCCCCAUCGCUGAUUGGAGCUUUGACCCCUCCCUCUCAUCACGGGAUACAGCUGUCUCUUCAUUAUCAACUCCUUCUCCAGCUUAAUAAAAGCCAGUGUUCCUUUGUCAGAAGAGAUCUUCUUUUUAUGUCCUGUGUUGGUUGUUGGUCAGUGAAAGUUUUGUUGAUAUUAUUUUGUAGCCACUCCUCCCGAGGUAUGUGUAUGCCAAUAGGACUUUUUGAUUAUUGAAAUUGUUCACUAAAAGUAUUAGUAAUUAUUUCAUUUGUUCCCAGGGGUGGAAGGGGAACGCACCUUAGGAGUGUUUAGGCAAGAGGCCUGCGGGCAUACAUAACCCGUAGUAUUUAAUCUGUGUAUCGUUUUACCGUGUUAAGGAAUAAUAAAUUCCC
This 1038-nucleotide long non-coding RNA is filed under the name Salmo salar (Atlantic salmon). Its description in RNAcentral is "lncRNA (ENSSSAG00000103044.1, ENSSSAG00000110082.1)". Lineage: Eukaryota; Metazoa; Chordata; Actinopteri; Salmoniformes; Salmonidae. The record is from RNAcentral.